RNAcentral lists this ribosomal RNA (305 nucleotides) under uncultured bacterium. Its description in RNAcentral is "bacterial SSU rRNA". It matches the Rfam family "Bacterial small subunit ribosomal RNA", at positions 333 to 636 of the family's 1533-position model. The record is from RNAcentral.
UCUCCCCUACGGGAGGCAGCAGUGAGGAAUAUUGGUCAAUGGCCGAGAGGCUGAACCAGCCAAGUCGCGUGAGGGAAGACGGCCCUAUGGGUUGUAAACCUCUUUUGUCGGAGAACAAAACCCGGGACGAGUCCCGGACUGCGUGUAUCCGAAGAAAAAGCAUCGGCUAACUCCGUGCCAGCAGCCGCGGUAAUACGGAGGAUGCGAGCGUUAUCCGGAUUUAUUGGGUUUAAAGGGUGCGUAGGCGGUCCGUUAAGUCAGCGGUAAAAUUGCGGGGCUCAACCCCGUCGAGCCGUUGAAACUGG